RNAcentral lists this ribosomal RNA (415 nucleotides) under uncultured bacterium. Its description in RNAcentral is "bacterial SSU rRNA". It matches the Rfam family "Bacterial small subunit ribosomal RNA", at positions 355 to 762 of the family's 1533-position model. The record is from RNAcentral.
UGGGGAAUAUUGGACAAUGGGCGAAAGCCUGAUCCAGCCAUGCCGCGUGUGUGAAGAAGGUCUUCGGAUUGUAAAGCACUUUAAGUUGGGAGGAAGGGCAGUUACCUAAUACGUGAUUGUUUUGACGUUACCGACAGAGUAAGCACCGGCUAACUCUGUGCCAGCAGCCGCGGUAAUACAGAGGGUGCAAGCGUUAAUCGGAAUUACUGGGCGUAAAGCGCGCGUAGGUGGUUAGUUAAGUUGGAUGUGAAAUCCCCGGGCUCAACCUGGGAACUGCAUUCAAAACUGACUGACUAGAGUAUGGUAGAGGGUGGUGGAAUUUCCUGUGUAGCGGUGAAAUGCGUAGAUAUAGGAAGGAACACCAGUGGCGAAGGCGACCACCUGGACUGAUACUGACACUGAGGUGCGAAAAGCG